UAUUAUUUUUAGGGUUCCGUAUCCAAAGGGUAAAACGGGACCCUAUUACUAAGACUCCGCUGUCCGUCCGUCCGUCCGUCUGUGUAUCUCAUGAACCGUGAUAGCUGGACAGUUGAAAUUUUCACAGAUUGUAUUUCUGUUGACGCUAUAACAACAAAUACUAAAAUAAAUAUUUAAGUGGGGCUCCCAUACAAAAAACUUAUGUUUUUUGCGUCAUGUGAAAAUAAUGGUACGGAACCCUUCGUGCGCGAGUCCGACUCGCACUUGGCCGGUUUUUUAUAAUUUAC
Cydia splendana is the source of this 287-nucleotide long non-coding RNA. RefSeq lists it as uncharacterized. The record is from RefSeq and is a predicted model, not a curated record. Lineage: Eukaryota; Metazoa; Arthropoda; Insecta; Lepidoptera; Tortricidae. The transcript has 3 exons.